ACGGGAGGCAGCAGUGGGGAAUAUUGGACAAUGGGGGAAACCCUGAUCUAGCGACGCCGCGUGAGUGAAGAAGUAUUUCGGUACGUAAAGCUCUAUCAGCAGGGAAGAAAAUGACGGUACCUGACUAAGAAGCCCCGGCUAACUACGUGCCAGCAGCCGCGGUAAUACGUAGGGGGCAAGCGUUAUCCGGAUUUACUGGGUGUAAAGGGAGCGUAGACGGUAUGGCAAGUCUGAAGUGAAAGCCCGCGGCUUAACUGCGGGACUGCUUUGGAAACUGUCAGACUAGAGUGUCGGAGAGGUGAGUGGAAUUCCCAGUGUAGCGGUGAAAUGCGUAGAUAUUGGGAGGAACACCGGAGGCGAAGGCGGCUCACUGGACGAUAACUGACGUUGAGGCUCGAAAGCGUGGGGAGCAAACAGGAUUAGAUACCCUGGUA
This 434-nucleotide ribosomal RNA is filed under the name uncultured Lachnospiraceae bacterium. Its description in RNAcentral is "partial 16S ribosomal RNA". It matches the Rfam family "Bacterial small subunit ribosomal RNA", at positions 341 to 792 of the family's 1533-position model. The record is from RNAcentral. Lineage: Bacteria; Bacillati; Bacillota; Clostridia; Lachnospirales; Lachnospiraceae.